Long non-coding RNA from Tribolium castaneum (red flour beetle), 202 nucleotides. RefSeq lists it as uncharacterized. The transcript has 2 exons. Lineage: Eukaryota; Metazoa; Arthropoda; Insecta; Coleoptera; Tenebrionidae. The record is from RefSeq and is a predicted model, not a curated record.
AGUUGCGUGAGUUUGGAGCGAAGUUUUAUCACUCACUGACGGCAAGGUGACCUAACACGUUCAUCGACCGCACCCCCGUUUUCUCCCAGAUGCGCAUCAUUUUGGAAAAGGGAAUAAAUAAUUUUCAGUUUGUACUGUGGUAACUUCAAACAAUAACAACAAUAAUUCAGUAAAGCUGCUUUAAAAUUGUAAUCUAAAUAAA